CUGACCACUUCUUAAUAACUUUUGAAUUCCUACUACCAGACUAUACGAAAUUAAAUAAAAGUUUCUACACUAGAUGCUUAUCUGACAGUGCUAUAGCGAAAUUUAAGGAAGACAUUCCGACAGCACUUAAUUCAAUUACCUUAUUUUAAUACAACUAA
This is a long non-coding RNA of Sander lucioperca (pikeperch), 158 nucleotides long. RefSeq lists it as uncharacterized. The transcript is spliced from 3 exons. The record is from RefSeq and is a predicted model, not a curated record. NCBI's taxonomy places the organism in Eukaryota, Metazoa, Chordata, Actinopteri, Perciformes, Percidae.